GAGCGGAUGAAGGGAGCUUGCUCCCGGAUUCAGCGGCGGACGGGUGAGUAAUGCCUAGGAAUCUGCCUGGUAGUGGGGGACAACGUUUCGAAAGGAACGCUAAUACCGCAUACGUCCUACGGGAGAAAGCAGGGGACCUUCGGGCCUUGCGCUAUCAGAUGAGCCUAGGUCGGAUUAGCUAGUUGGUGAGGUAAUGGCUCACCAAGGCGACGAUCCGUAACUGGUCUGAGAGGAUGAUCAGUCACACUGGAACUGAGACACGGUCCAGACUCCUACGGGAGGCAGCAGUGGGGAAUAUUGGACAAUGGGCGAAAGCCUGAUCCAGCCAUGCCGCGUGUGUGAAGAAGGUCUUCGGAUUGUAAAGCACUUUAAGUUGGGAGGAAGAGUUGUAGAUUAAUACUCUGCAAUUUUGACGUUACCGACAGAAUAAGCACCGGCUAACUCUGUG
RNAcentral lists this ribosomal RNA (448 nucleotides) under uncultured bacterium. Its description in RNAcentral is "bacterial SSU rRNA". It matches the Rfam family "Bacterial small subunit ribosomal RNA", at positions 64 to 507 of the family's 1533-position model. The record is from RNAcentral.